AUUGAACGCUGGCGGCAUGCCUUACACAUGCAAGUCGAACGGCAGCACGGGGGCAACCCUGGUGGCGAGUGGCGAACGGGUGAGUAAUGCAUCGGAACGUGUCCUCUUGUGGGGGAUAACCAGUCGAAAGAUUGGCUAAUACCGCAUGAGAUCGCAAGAUGAAAGCGGGGGACCGCAAGGCCUCGCGCGAGAGGAGCGGCCGAUGCCGGAUUAGCUAGUUGGUGGGGUAACGGCCUACCAAGGCGACGAUCCGUAGCUGGUCUGAGAGGACGACCAGCCACACUGGGACUGAGACACGGCCCAGACUCCUACGGGAGUCAGCAGUGGGGAAUUUUGGACAAUGGGCGCAAGCCCGAUCCAGCCAUGCCGCAUGUGUGAAGAAGGCCUUCGGGUUGUAAAGCACUUUCGGACGGAACGAAAUCGCGCGGACGAACAUUCCGCGUGGAUGACGGUACCGUAAGAAGAAGCACCGGCUAACUACGUGCCAGCCGCCGCCGUAA
RNAcentral lists this ribosomal RNA (500 nucleotides) under uncultured bacterium. RNAcentral's name for it is "partial 16S ribosomal RNA". It matches the Rfam family "Bacterial small subunit ribosomal RNA", at positions 29 to 523 of the family's 1533-position model. The record is from RNAcentral.